Molecule: ribosomal RNA, 227 nt
Filed under: Lacticaseibacillus rhamnosus
Lineage: Bacteria; Bacillati; Bacillota; Bacilli; Lactobacillales; Lactobacillaceae
Description: partial 16S ribosomal RNA
Rfam family: Bacterial small subunit ribosomal RNA
Source: RNAcentral
CAAGCGUUAUCCGGAUUUAUUGGGCGUAAAGCGAGCGCAGGCGGUUUUUUAAGUCUGAUGUGAAAGCCCUCGGCUUAACCGAGGAAGUGCAUCGGAAACUGGGAAACUUGAGUACAGAAGAGGACAGUGGAACUCCAUGUGUAGCGGUGAAAUGCGUAGAUAUAUGGAAGAACACCAGUGGCGAAGGCGGCUGUCUGGUCUGUAACUGACGCUGAGGCUCGAAAGCA